Molecule: ribosomal RNA, 449 nt
Filed under: unidentified nematode Sourhope farm
Lineage: Eukaryota; Metazoa; Nematoda
Description: SSU rRNA
Rfam family: Eukaryotic small subunit ribosomal RNA
Source: RNAcentral
UCGUGAAACCGCGAACGGCUCAUUAUAACAGCUAUAAUUUACUUGAUCUUGACUUCCUACUUGGAUAACUGUGGUAAUUCUAGAGCUAAUACAUGCACCAAAGCUCCGACCUUACGGGAAGAGCGCAUUUAUUCGAACAAAACCAAGCGGCUUCGGCCGUCCGCAGUUGACUCAGAAUAACUAAGCUGAUCGCAUGGUCUUGUACCGGCGACGUGUCUUUCAAGUAUCUGCCUUAUCAACUUUCGAUGGUAGUGUAUCUGACUACCAUGGUGGUGACGGGUAACGGAGGAUAAGGGUUCGACUCCGGAGAAGGGGCCUGAGAAAUGGCCACUACGUCUAAGGAUGGCAGCAGGCGCGCAAAUUACCCACUCUCAGAAUGAGGAGGUAGUGACGAGAAAUAACGAGACCGUUCUCUACGAGGCCGGUCAUCGGAAUGGGUACAAUUUAAA